GACGAACGCUGGAGGCGUGCUUAACACAUGCAAGUCGAACGGAAAGGCCUGCUUUCCCUUGUGGAUUGCGGGUACUCGAGUGGCGAACGGGUGAGUAACACGUGAGUGAUCUGCCCCCAACUUGGGUAUAAGCCUGGGAAACUGGGUCUAAUUCCCGAUAGGACUGCAGGGUGGUGCCUGUGGUGGAAAACGAUUUUCUAGUGGUUGGGGAUGAGCUCGCGGCCUAUCAGCUUGUUGGUGGGGUAAUGGCCUACCAAGGCGGCGACGGGUAGCCGGCCUGGGAGGGUGGACGGCCACAUUGGGACUGAGAUACGGCCCAGACUCCUACGGGAGGCAGCAGUGGGGAAUAUUGCACAAUGGGCGGAAGCCUGAUGCAGCGACGCCGCGUGGGGGAUGACGGCCUUCGGGUUGUAAACUCCUUUCGACCGCGAGGAAGCCACCUGGUUGGAAGGGUGGUGACGGUAGUGGUAGAAGAAGCACCGGCUAACUACGUG
This 494-nucleotide ribosomal RNA is filed under the name uncultured bacterium. RNAcentral's name for it is "partial 16S ribosomal RNA". It matches the Rfam family "Bacterial small subunit ribosomal RNA", at positions 28 to 507 of the family's 1533-position model. The record is from RNAcentral.